This 94-nucleotide ribosomal RNA is filed under the name uncultured bacterium. Its description in RNAcentral is "partial 16S ribosomal RNA". The record is from RNAcentral.
CCUUGCACAUACCGCCCGUCGCUUCAUCGAAGUUGGUUCUUGGCGAGGUGAUGCCUAAUUGGCACUAUCGAACCUGGGGUCAGCAACGAGGGAG